UUCUGAUGUGUAGUGUUAUGUUGUGUUAUAUUCUGAUGUGUAGUGUUAUGUUGUGUUUCGUUGCGUUUUGCUGUAUUUUAUGUUUUAUUAUGUUGUAUUAUAUUUCAUUAUGAUGUGUUGUAUUCUAAUGUGUAGUGUUAUGUUAUGUUUCGUUGCGUUUUGCUGUAUUUUAUGUUGUAUUAUGAUGCGUUAUAUGCUGUUAUGAAGUGUUAUGUUGUGUUUCGCUGUAUUUUAUGUUGUAUUAUAUUGCAUUAUAAUGUAUUACAUUCUGUUAUGAAGUGUUAUGUUGUGUCAUGUUUUGUUGUGCUCUGCCAUCUUGUAUUCUAUUACCUCAUGCAGUAUUAUGUUAUGCGUAGCGUUCUGUUGCGUUCUGUUGCGUUUCGGUGUAUUUUAUGUUGUAUUAUACUAUUUUACGAUGUGUUAUGUCAUGUCUUGUUGUGCUCUGCCAUCUUGUAUUCAAUUAUCUUAUAUAGUAUUAUGUUGUGUUAUUAUUUCUCUUGCCUUUGAGUGCCCACAUCGACCGUGUAUUAUAUAUUACAGAAACUACUGUUCAAAUAUAUCAUAUUAUAAACUAUAAAUAAACUGAAAACUUCCAGCUACGCGAUAACGCGUGAAAUAAACCAAAACAAAAUUGUGUACCUUUGACUCGGUCGUUUUUCAAACGUCCUUGUGUGCGAAUUUGAGGCCUGUACGUGUGAGUCCGGAGCUCGAUGACCCGGCUAGCCCACCCUGCGAUUAGGCUUGUUUUUCUCUUAUUCGCAGACACGUGUAAGUUUUAUUCGGAAUUCGCAAGAGCGUCGAAGCGGGACGGAAGAGCUCGAGCAAACGAAAUCUGAGGCGAAUAGGAAACGAAAAAAAUAGCAUGUCUGCCCAAGACGGUAUAACACCCGCGCCGAAAGACGCCAUCGAUGCAUCGGGCUCGUCUCUGAGCGCUCCUCGUCAGCUGAAUACGAGCUCCAAGUGUCGCGCUGUUGGCUUCUUAAGAACAGACGAGACCAAUGUCAAAUUGCGGAAGACCGAUUUGCAGCUGCGGCAGUUGCACUGCCGACCAAAGUAGCAGCUUCAACGACACCAUCUGUCCAUCGAGAUCUCCUCAAAGAAUCUGCAUCGUACCCCCAAUUCGCCAAUGGCCCGUAUGGAAGUCUUGCUGUCUCCGAAAAUACAAUUACCCCUGUACGCAACACUCGAAACCACGGCCAUUGAUACGUUUCAACGAUUUCGACUUGGCCUCUCAGUAUUGAAGACGUUGCUUGGCGAAUAAGCUUUCGCAACGACGAAGACGCGAAUCUCUUACGUUCUAAUCGACUAUUCGACUAUAUUUGCCAAUUUUUCAGUUCUCUGCUAGUUGGUAUUCGCGAAAACGCAAGCGCAAUCAUGUUUGCUAUCACCAGCGGGGACAUUUUAAUCGCUUUGGAGAUCGUUUUACGUCUGGUGGUCUUUCUAGGCAGUAGACAAAUACUGUUCCUCGUCAAAUUCGAUCGAUACCGUUCAUUAUUCGAAAUAAACGUAUUUACUCCAUAUUUAUUAAAAAUCUAUUACGAUGUUAUUUAU
Molecule: RNA transcript, 1551 nt
Organism: Hylaeus anthracinus
Lineage: Eukaryota; Metazoa; Arthropoda; Insecta; Hymenoptera; Colletidae
Exons: 2
Source: RefSeq, a predicted model, not a curated record